AUUGAACGCUGGCGGCAGGCUUAACACAUGCAAGUCGAACGGUAACAGGCCGCAAGGUGCUGACGAGUGGCGAACGGGUGCGUAAUGCAUCGGAACGUGCCCAGUCGUGGGGGCUAACUACUCGAAAGAGUAGCUAAUACCGCAUACGAUCUAUGAAUGAAAGCGGGGGACCGCAAGGCCUCGCGCGAUUGGAGCGGCCGAUGUCAGAUUAGGUAGUGGGUGGGGUAAAGGCUCACGAAGCCAACGAUCUGUAGCUGGUCUGAGAGGACGAGCAGCCACACUGGGACUGAGACACGGCCCAGACUCCUACGGGAGGCAGCAGUGGGGAAUUUUGGACAAUGGGCGCAAGCCUGAUCCAGCAAUGCCGCGUGCAGGAAGAAGGCCUUCGGGUUGUAAAGUGCUUUUGUACGGAACGAAACGGCUCUGGUUAAUACCCGGGGCUAAUGACGGUACCGUAAGAAUAAGCACCGGCUAACUACGUG
RNAcentral lists this ribosomal RNA (482 nucleotides) under uncultured bacterium. RNAcentral's name for it is "partial 16S ribosomal RNA". It matches the Rfam family "Bacterial small subunit ribosomal RNA", at positions 29 to 507 of the family's 1533-position model. The record is from RNAcentral.